This 253-nucleotide ribosomal RNA is filed under the name uncultured bacterium. RNAcentral's name for it is "partial 16S ribosomal RNA". It matches the Rfam family "Bacterial small subunit ribosomal RNA", at positions 524 to 776 of the family's 1533-position model. The record is from RNAcentral.
UACAGAGACUGCAAGCGUUAUUCGGAUUCACUGGGCGUAAAGGGUGCGCAGGCGGUUUGGUGUGUCAGGUGUGAAGGCCCGGGGCUUAACCCCGGAAUUGCGCCUGAAACUACAUGACUAGAGCAUUGGAGAGGAUAGCGGAAUUCCUGGUGUAGCGGUGAAAUGCGUAGAUAUCAGGAGGAACACCUGCGGUGUAGACGGCUAUCUGGACGGUUACUGACGCUGAGACACGAAAGCGUGGGUAGCAAACAGG